Molecule: long non-coding RNA, 6044 nt
Filed under: Nicotiana benthamiana
Lineage: Eukaryota; Viridiplantae; Streptophyta; Magnoliopsida; Solanales; Solanaceae
Description: long non-coding RNA (NBEN_LNC004074)
Source: RNAcentral
AAGAAAAUAAUAUCCAUAAAGCAAAUACUCUAAACCAAGUGCAUAAGUUUAGUAUAUUUCAAGAGAGUAAGUAAGAUCCAAAAAUGUUGAUAACAAAAGAUUCCUAGAACAUUCAUCUAUAACAAUUCAAAAUUCUAUCUCAAGUUGAUAUUUUUCAUCUAUUUCUUGAUCUUCUCCACCUACAAAAUAGGAUAAAUAAUGUUAUCAAUAGUUAGACAACAGAAGAAGAAACUUACAAAUUUAAUAGAACCAAAAUUAUGGAGGGAUCACGAGGGUGGCGCAUGAUAUCAAGGCCAACAACAGGCAGACGAACCCAAAUCUUACCUUCUGGAAAAAGAAAAUCAACUGUGCAUAAAGAUUCAAACUCUUUGGCUUUAAAGGUAAUGCCUUUUAGUUUAACCUCAAAUUUAUUAGUUCUCAAAUAUAUAUUACCAGCCAUAGGUUUGUUUGUUGAAUGAGAUGAUCCUAAUAUUGUUAGUUUAGUAUAAAUAGAUGGAGAAAAGAUUAGCAAAAUGAUGAGUGUCCCAUAACAGAUGCUAGAGAAAUGAACAACUCCCCAAUGAAAAUAAGAUUUGACGCAAUAUUGCAGGGAAACAAGACAAAAUACUAGCAAGAUGCACAUGAAAAUGUCAUCAAAAUGAUAUUCAAAACUACAGAAGAAUACCAGGGAUAAAAGGAAGGAAGAUUAGUGGAUUAACAUUAAAAUUAGAUGGUUCUGCAAAAAAUUAUGACACUUGUUGGGCAAGCCUUUUGUUUGUUAGCUAUGGAUACUUUAUAUCCGCUGACUCCUAGACUUCACCAAGAAAGUGAUUGAAUCUACAGCUGAAGCAUUUUGCAUCUAUCCAGAACUUGACCAUUUUGCAUCUUCUCUAAAUGCGUCACUACUGUUUUCCAUGUGCAUUAUUUUACUUGUUUUUCUUAAUUCGUUUGGCCCUAGAUGAAGAUAGUUAAAUUUUACUUCGUAGUUUGGUUCUCCUAAAGCUAAAUAUGACAAUAAUAGUAAUGUUUCUUCUUGUCACGACCUCAGUUCACCUUCCAUGAAUAUGUCGUGAUGGCACAUAAUUCCUACAACUAGGUAAGCCUAACAACGCGAAAAUUAAUAUAACUUGCAAAAAUAUUUAAUUAAAUUAAGCAAAACUAGGAGAAAAACGGUAUAUAAGUGCCACUUGGCAUAUAUAACUCAAAAAUAAAUACGGAAGUCUACAAUUAAAUCCUAAAAACCCAGAAACUCACGGAAACCACAAGCUAAAAGAAAUACUGUAAAUGCUCUAAUCUUCAGAAUGUCUACAUCAAAAGUAUGAUAGGAUAUAAACACUACAGAUAGAAUAAGGAAGGAAACUCUUUGGUCUACGGAUGCUGCAGAUAUACCUCAAGUCUCCACUAGAUCUCUCUGUCUCGAUGAUAGUGCGCCAGAGAUGAAGUACCUGGAUUUGCACAUGAAAAACAUGCACAUGAGAGGCAUGAGUACACCACAGCGGUACUCAGUAAGUGCCAAGCCUAACCCCGGUUGGGUAGUAACGAGGAAGGUCAGGGCCCGCCUGAGAUAAACAUAGUAUAUGAUAAGAUAAGGAAAACAAUAUAGAUAAGGUCUACAACGAGAAUCUGAACAGGAUAAAUAAGGGAAACAACUAUAGGAAGCAGAAACAAAGCAAUAUAAGGAACACUACUCAUAAUAGGAAAUAAUAUCCGGAGAUAUCUUGGUAUCCUCACCACAUACACUAAUGAUCUCUUAGUAUCCCGAGGAUGUCUUGGUAUCCUCAUCAUAUUAACUAGGGAUCUCUUGGUAUCCCGAGAAUCUCUUGGUAUCCUCAUCAUAUUCCUAGGGAUCUCUUGGUAUCUCGAUGAUCUCUUGGUAUCCUCAUCAUAUUCACUAGGGAUCUCUUGGUAUCCUGAGGAUCUCUUGGUAUCCCAUAACUUACAAUUUCAUGUGCCAGAGAUCUCUUGGUAUCCCGCACCAUUAGUCCAAAAUAUAUCAAGUGCAGGGGAUUCUCCUGGGAGGCCAACCCGUAGUCCCAAUUUAAAAAACACAAUAGCAACCCAAACAUUAGAAUAGAUAGUAGACUCAAGACAAGAAAUAGAAAAUCCUAACCAGCAUACUACACGGAGCACAAAUAAGACAAUUUAAGAACUUAGGCAAGUAAGUCAAAUUAACAUGCUUCUCUAAACUAGCAUAGAAUAAACUUGCAAUUGAAACUAAACAGAUAAGCAAGAAAACUCAAUUUAAAUACUUCGAGUAAAAACGAAUUUCCACCAAUUUUCUCAAGUAUGCGCUCGUCACCUCACGUACGAGGCAUUUAAGUACCAAAAAUCAUGUCCUAAGGGGAAGAAGUCCCCCACACAAGCCUAGACAAGCCACUUAACAUGAACCAGCUCAAUAUCAACUAGAAACCACGCCUUUAUCAUGAGUAUCUGACUCCAAAUGGCCCAAUUCUAUUCAUUUCAAUUACAUCUCGUAAAUAACAUCUCAAGCAACUAAUUCCACUAUUUAAAUUCAAAGACAAGACAUAAAUUAGGUAAAAUGACAAAAACACCUCUCAGGCGAAUGUGGUCAAAACCCGAAGUUCAAACUUAAAUAUAGUUACCCAUUCCCCCACGAAUCCAAUUAUGUGAUUAGUUUUGAAAUCACACCUCGGAUUCAGGUCCAACCCCUAAUUUUAGCAAAGUCUUAGGUUCUACCCAAUAUACCCAAAUUUCCCCAUUAAAAUCUUCGAUUUGAUGUUGAAAUUAUGUUAAAGAUGUUAAGGAGUGAAGAAAAUGAGUUAGAAAUAACUUACCAAUCAUUUUGAAGAAGAAUAAUUGCUUAGAAAAUAGCCACUUAGGGUUUUUUUUUUUAAAGUGAGAAAUAACUGAAAAUUCCGUGUAUUUAUACUCUCUGACGCCCCAGUGCAAACCACACAAACAGGACCGCGGUCGCGCUUGAAAACUGGGAAAUUUGCUACCCUCUGAAACCCCCCAGUGCAGACCGUGCAAAAAAAGGAUCGUGGCCGCGUUGGUGGAACUGAAGACUGUUGGUUCUCUAAAGCUUGCCGCGUGGACUGCACGAGGAUGACUGCGGUCGUGCAGCACACACUGCGGACUGUGUUAUGGCAAACACAGCCAUGCAACGCACACCGCAGACCGCGCUAAGGCGACCGUGGGCACGCUGGAGACUGCAUUUUUCCUUACAUGCAAUAUCUGGUGUUUUAAAGUCUAAGACCUCCUGGAACCUACUCGAAACUCACAUAAGCUCUCGGGGCUCCAAACCAAACAUACGCACAACCUUGAGUACACCCUACGAACUCAUCCGCGUGAUCAAAUCGCCAAAUAAUAUCAUAUAUAUCAAAUCAAGCCUCAAAGCUCAUGAUUUCUUCUCAAAUAUUUCAUACGACAUAACAUUCCCAUUCUGGGUGCGAAACACGUCAACCGACGUCCGUUCUCAUCCAAACUUUACAAAAAAUGCUUAAAUUAUAUAUAAGACUUGUACCGAGUACCGAAACCAAAAUACGGGCCCAAUACCCUAGUACUAAUCAAAUUUUGUUUCCAUUUCCCUUCAUUAUUUUCCAGAAAAUAAUUUCACAUAAAAAUUUAUUUCUCAGACUUGGGACGUCGGAAUUCGAUUCCGACUAUACGCUCAAGUCUUAUAUUUUUCCACGGACCCUCCGUGACCAUCGAAUCACAGGUCUGGGUCUGUUUACCAAAACGUUGAUCGAAGUCAAAUUUAUUCAAUUAGUAUCAAAAUUUAGCAGUUUUCUUACAGAAUUUGUAUAUAAGUUUUGUGGUUACGUGUUGGAACCGCGCACAUAAACCGAGACAACCCGAGAGGAAGUUUUAAGGCCUCGAAAGUAAAGAACAAAAAAUAAAUAAGUGAUAACCCCAUUGGGUUGUCACACUUCUUUUUCAUUUGUAGGUUGACUUGGUGGGCAAUUGACCAAGUUUUAAAAUAAAUGGAUAGUCUCUAUUGAACCUAGCAUUACUAAAUAUCGUAAGGAUGACUUUAACCUUACUAGAGUAGGAUAAAUAUACCAUCAUGAAGUGUUUGGCAUGCAGGAAAAUUAUUUUUCCUUAAAAAUGCUUCACUUAGAGAAAUUAAUUUUUGAUGAUUUUCUAGUGUUUGGUAGAGCAUAAAGUAAGUUAUAUGUGAUAAUUGUAUAAUUUGGAGGAUAUGGUUUCCUGAUACUAUUUUGGUGAUAUCUUUUGAAUAUUAAAUACUCAAAACAAUGUCCAUAUAUUGGUUGAAGCAAGUGGCAGGAGUAAUAUUUCAGAUAGUUGUGAAGGAAAAUGACAAGUGACAGAUAUCAUUUUAGUUUCCAUAAUCUAAGUUAACGAAAUGCUGGAAUGGGAAAACAUAUACAAUAUUUUCUAUAGUUAACUUGAGCUAUUUAUGCUGUCUAUGUUUUUAAAUCUUAAUUCAUCUAUUUUCCAAAUUAAUCUAUUAUGUUAUCUAUUUUCUUGAUCGAUCCAACUUGAAACUAAUACAUUAAGCUUCCUGAGCUAUUGAGCUAUCUAUCUACUAAAUCAGUUUAUUGUAUUUUUACUUACAGAUGGAGAAACUGUAAGUUGUUUUCCUCUAUUCACAACCUUGUGUUGAUGGAGGAUUGUUGCAUCCAGCUUCCUAUCCAAUAAGAGAAUAUCAAUCCUGUCUUUAAGGAGAACCUUAAAUGAUUCAUAUUAGUGUGAAAAUUGCAUAUUUAUCAUUAUUUAUAUUUUUUACAUUUUAAUUGGUACAUUGUAUAACUCACUAAUAUACAAUUAAAAGCAUUCUAACCAAGUCAGUGAAGUCCUCAUCAAACUUAUUCACACAUCUAUAUCACUAUCCAAUUAUAAAAAUAUAACGCAAACACUAAUCCAAAAUUGCUACAAGAAUGAGCCUUAGAGCUACAUCUUACCAAUGUAGAAUGCCCGAAAAAGCAGGAACCCCAAACAAGACAACCAAGUUUGACACAUAAGUACCAAGUCCCAACCACAACUACAACCUCAACCAUUGACUUUUAGUCAAUAGGAAGAAAAAAAGAUAUUACCAUAUCCACUCUGCCUUGAACCAAAGCAAAAUCUCAAGCAAGGAAAGAUGAGAGGAAGAAAUAGAAGAAGAUAUAUAAUUGUUGGUACAUACUGACCUUGGUUGUUACUACUAGUAUUGUUACUAUCAGAAGAUGGAUGGUCGACUGUUUAGUUGAACAACAACUUGUUGUGCAGAGGAAUCUUAUACAAGUGAACGUGCAUUGAUCAGAAACAGCCUAGAUUUCAACUUUUAGUUACUGUAGUUCUGCUGUUAAAUUGAAAGCAAAAGAAAAUGGGUUAUUAAACAGGAAUAAAUAGGACAAUAUUAGUUUUUUAAAUAGGAAUAAACAGGAAACUAUCAGCAAGAAUGUAGAUGCUUUACCGAACUAACCCAAGCAGAAUGUAGAUCUUAGAAAAUUACAAAUAAGCAAAAAAUGGGUUGUUGGUCUCCUGAAAAUGCCACUAAAGCUUUUCUCAAAACCAUGGACAUGGAAAUUACAAUUAUGAACUUAUCAUAUCUGAAAUCUGAUAUACAAUUCAAAUAAUAUUUUCUUCUCAAGAUGUUACUAAUGUCAUGUUGAUCUGGUGUAGGGAAAGAGAGCUAUAUUACCAAAUGGAGCAGAGUUCAUUUUCACGCUCGUAGUAGGAAAUAAUGUACAACUUAUGGUAUUUGCUUGUGCAAAUGUUGCAGACUCCACCACCUUGCACUGGUGGCAACAACUCAACAAACAGAAGGUUGAUACAUUACACUUACUACAAGAUACAACUAGUCUUUUAGAUAAUUUCAGUAGAUUGGAAUUGUAAAUACCUAUUUAAUGUAGAACACUUCAGCUUUCAUGGAAAACUACCAAAGAUUCAAAUAUACGCAGAGGAAAAUAAGAAAGAGAGCUGUCAAACAUGAUACUUAUCCGUAUAUUGAAAAAUAGGACACCAAUCUGCACAAAACAAUAUUAAAAUGAAGAGGUAGCAUGAUGAUUUGGCAUAUCACCUAUUCAGUUAUUAGAAUGUUCUUGUCUCUUUGACAUGAUAUACUUUAGAAGAAGCUAAAGGUUUCUCAAUCAAGUAUG